UGGGGAAUCUUGCACAAUGGGCGAAAGCCUGAUGCAGCGACGCCGCGUGAGGGAAGAAGGCUUUCGGGUUGUAAACCUCUUUCAGGGGGGACGAAGCUCCUCGGGUUAAUAGCCCAGAGGGUGACGGUACUCUCAGAAGAAGCCCCGGCUAACUACGUGCCAGCAGCCGCGGUAAUACGUAGGGGGCAAGCGUUGUCCGGAUUUAUUGGGCGUAAAGAGCGUGUAGGCGGCCAUUUAGGUCCGUUGUGAAAACUCGAGGCUCAACCUCGAGACGCCGGCGGAAACCGAGUGGCUAGAGUCCGGAAGAGGAGAGUGGAAUUCCUGGUGUAGCGGUGAAAUGCGCAGAUAUCAGGAGGAACACCCGUGGCUAAGGCGGCUCUCUAGUACGGUACUGACGCUGAGACGCGAAAGCGUGGGGAGCGAACAGG
Molecule: ribosomal RNA, 428 nt
Filed under: uncultured bacterium
Lineage: Bacteria
Description: bacterial SSU rRNA
Rfam family: Bacterial small subunit ribosomal RNA
Source: RNAcentral